AUUGAACGCUGGCGGCAGGCCUAACACAUGCAAGUCGAGCGGAAGAAGGGAGCUUGCUCCUGGAUUCAGCGGCGGACGGGUGUGUAAUGCCUAGGAAUCUGCCUGCUAGUGGGGGAUAACGUCCGGAGACGGGCGCUAAUACCGCAUACGCCCUGAGGGAGAAAGUGGGGGAGCUUCGGACCUCACGCUAUCAGAUGAGCCUAGGUCGGAUUAGCUAGUUGGUGGGGUAAAGGCCUACCAAGGCGACGAUCCGUAACUGGUCUGAGAGGAUGAUCAGUCACACUGGAACUGAGACACGGUCCAGACUCCUACGGGAGGCAGCAGUGGGGAAUAUUGGACAAUGGGCGAAAGCCUGAUCCAGCCAUGCCGCGUGUGUGAAGAAGGUCUUCGGAUUGUAAAGCACUUUUAGUUGGGAGGAAGGGCAGUAAGUUAAUACCUUGCUGUUUUGACGGUACCAACAGAAUAAGCACCGGCUAACUACGUG
This 484-nucleotide ribosomal RNA is filed under the name uncultured bacterium. RNAcentral describes it as "partial 16S ribosomal RNA". It matches the Rfam family "Bacterial small subunit ribosomal RNA", at positions 30 to 507 of the family's 1533-position model. The record is from RNAcentral.